RNAcentral lists this ribosomal RNA (427 nucleotides) under uncultured bacterium. RNAcentral describes it as "partial 16S ribosomal RNA". It matches the Rfam family "Bacterial small subunit ribosomal RNA", at positions 355 to 774 of the family's 1533-position model. The record is from RNAcentral.
UGGGGAAUAUUGCACAAUGGGCGCAAGCCUGAUGCAGCCAUGCCGCGUGUAUGAAGAAGGCCUUCGGGUUGUAAAGUACUUUCAGCGAGGAGGAAGGCGUUGUGGUUAAUAACCGCAGCGAUUGACGUUACUCGCAGAAGAAGCACCGGCUAACUCCGUGCCAGCAGCCGCGGUAAUACGGAGGGUGCAAGCGUUAAUCGGAAUUACUGGGCGUAAAGCGCACGCAGGCGGUCUGUCAAGUCGGAUGUGAAAUCCCCGGGCUCAACCUGGGAACUGCAUCCGAAACUGGCAGGCUAGAGUCUUGUAGAGGGGGGUAGAAUUCCAGGUGUAGCGGUGAAAUGCGUAGAGAUCUGGAGGAAUACCGGUGGCGAAGGCGGCCCCCUGGACAAAGACUGACGCUCAGGUGCGAAAGCGUGGGGAGCAAAUA